Molecule: ribosomal RNA, 329 nt
Filed under: uncultured eukaryote
Lineage: Eukaryota
Description: partial 18S ribosomal RNA
Rfam family: Eukaryotic small subunit ribosomal RNA
Source: RNAcentral
CCCUUAGAUGUUCUGGGCCGCACGCGCGCUACACUGACGAUGGCAACGAGUUUUUCCUUCGCCGAAAGGUGUGGGUAAUCUUUUGAAACAUCGUCGUGCUGGGGAUAGAUCAUUGCAAUUUUUGAUCUUGAACGAGGAAUUCCUAGUAAGCGCGAGUCAUCAGCUCGCGUUGAUUACGUCCCUGCUCUUUGUACACACCGCCCGUCGCUACUACCGAUUGAAUGGUUUAGUGAGGACUCCUGAUUGGCGCCGCCGCCCCGGCAACGGAGCAGCGGACUGCCGAAAAGUUGUUCAAACUUGAUCAUUUAGAGGAAGUAAAAGUCGUAACA